UGCAAGUCGAGCGAACUGAUUAGAAGCUUGCUUCUAUGACGUUAGCGGCGGACGGGUGAGUAACACGUGGGCAACCUGCCUGUAAGACUGGGAUAACUUCGGGAAACCGAAGCUAAUACCGGAUAGGAUCUUCUCCUUCAUGGGAGAUGAUUGAAAGAUGGUUUCGGCUAUCACUUACAGAUGGGCCCGCGGUGCAUUAGCUAGUUGGUGAGGUAACGGCUCACCAAGGCAACGAUGCAUAGCCGACCUGAGAGGGUGAUCGGCCACACUGGGACUGAGACACGGCCCAGACUCCUACGGGAGGCAGCAGUAGGGAAUCUUCCGCAAUGGACGAAAGUCUGACGGAGCAACGCCGCGUGAGUGAUGAAGGCUUUCGGGUCGUAAAACUCUGUUGUUAGGGAAGAACAAGUACAAGAGUAACUGCUUGUACCUUGACGGUACCUAACCAGAAAGCCACGGCUAACUACGUGCCAGCAGCCGCGGUAAUACGUAGGUGGCAAGCGUUAUCCGGAAUUAUUGGGCGUAAAGCGCGCGCAGGCGGUUUCUUAAGUCUGAUGUGAAAGCCCACGGCUCAACCGUGGAGGGUCAUUGGAAACUGGGGAACUUGAGUGCAGAAGAGAAAAGCGGAAUUCCACGUGUAGCGGUGAAAUGCGUAGAGAUGUGGAGGAACACCAGUGGCGAAGGCGGCUUUUUGGUCUGUAACUGACGCUGAGGCGCGAAAGCGUGGGGGAGCAAACAGGAUUAGAUACCCUGGUAGUCCACGCCGUAACGAUGAGUGCUAAGUGUUAGAGGGUUUCCGCCCUUUAGUGCUGCAGCUAACGCAUUAAGCACUCCGCCUGGGGAGUACGGUCGCAAGACUGAAACUCAAGGAAUUGACGGGGGCCCGCACAAGCGGUGGAGCAUGUGUUUA
Molecule: ribosomal RNA, 910 nt
Filed under: Priestia megaterium
Lineage: Bacteria; Bacillati; Bacillota; Bacilli; Caryophanales; Bacillaceae
Description: bacterial SSU rRNA
Rfam family: Bacterial small subunit ribosomal RNA
Source: RNAcentral